Molecule: long non-coding RNA, 470 nt
Organism: Cyprinus carpio (common carp)
Lineage: Eukaryota; Metazoa; Chordata; Actinopteri; Cypriniformes; Cyprinidae
Exons: 4
Source: RefSeq, a predicted model, not a curated record
AUUAUGAGACUGUGUCCUCUUCAUCUGGAUCUGAUGAGUUGCCGAGUUUCUCAUUUCAGCCAUACUGCUCUUUUGAGGACGUAAGAAAACUUAUAUGUGAUCUCACUGGAAGACUUGAGACUACUUGCUCGCAGGAAAUAAGCAAAACAAUUAAUAAAGUUUCAGAUUUGUCCACAAAGAGGCCUCCGUUUGACUUUGUAGUUGGAGACAGAGUCCGCGUGAAGCCAUCUGUUGUUACUCCAAUACACAAAUGGGGAUCGGUCACUUUAUUGAGUGUUGGUGUUGUUAAAAAAAUUCAGGGUGAGUGGUUGACUGUAGAUUUCCCCGAACAAAGAAACUGGACUGGUGUAUAGUUUCAGAAAUGGAGCAUGUGACCGGUGCUGGUUCAGGACCUUCAAGUCUGGACUCCAAUAUUAAGAUUGGAGACAAAGUUCGUGUGAAACCAUCUGUUGUUACUCCAACCCACAAAU